Nothoprocta perdicaria is the source of this 276-nucleotide long non-coding RNA. RefSeq lists it as uncharacterized. The record is from RefSeq and is a predicted model, not a curated record. NCBI's taxonomy places the organism in Eukaryota, Metazoa, Chordata, Aves, Tinamiformes, Tinamidae. The transcript has 3 exons.
CUGUGUGAGCAGAAGAAUGUUUCUGCCCAAGAAAGCUGCUGAAGAGGAACGAGGGAGACGAGUGUUGGUGAAGCCCGGCGUUUCCGUGGUCCUUUGGAGGCCAGAAUGAAGUCUCCCUGCUUGGAGACCACCGGCAAUGUCAGAAGGAGCUCUGCAGAUGGAUGGAGUGACUCUUGGAUGGUGCUUGGAUGCCUGAUGUUUCUGCAACCCUGGAUGUGAGCGCCAGGGCCUGGGAGCCCCAUCCCAUCUCCAUCGCAUGCUCCGCUGGGACGGUGA